This 430-nucleotide ribosomal RNA is filed under the name uncultured bacterium. RNAcentral's name for it is "bacterial SSU rRNA". It matches the Rfam family "Bacterial small subunit ribosomal RNA", at positions 355 to 776 of the family's 1533-position model. The record is from RNAcentral.
UGGGGAAUUUUGCGCAAUGGACGAAAGUCUGACGCAGCGACGCCGCGUGGGUGAUGAAGGUCUUCGGAUUGUAAAGCCCUGUCGUGGGGAACGAAAUCUCUUAUGGCUAAUAUCCAUAGGAUGUGACGGUACUCCAAAAGGAAGCACCGGCUAACUCCGUGCCAGCAGCCGCGGUAAUACGGAGGGUGCAAGCGUUGUUCGGAAUUACUGGGCGUAAAGCGCCUGUAGGUGGCUUAAGUAGUCGGGUGUGAAAACCCCGGGCUCAACCCGGGAACUGCGCCCGAAACCAUUAAGCUUGAGUGCCAAAAGGGUACGUGGAAUUCCAAGUGUAGCAGUGAAAUGCGUAGAUAUUUGGAGGAACACCGGUGGUGCAGACGACGUACUGGGUGGCAACUGACACUGAGAGGCGAAAGCGUGGGUAGCAAACAGG